AUGUUUUGUGUUCAUGGCGGGGGCGGGCAGGACACGGCUUACCACGAUCCUGGGAUCUCUGGCCGGCGGAGAGCGGCGCAGCGUCGUGUGCGUGACCGGGCCCGAUGGCGUGACCGGGCCCGAUGGCAGAGGCGGCUGUUAAUAAAUGCAAAAGUGCAGAAGACAGGAAGAGAGGGAGGCAAUGAACAGGUUCCUGACACACGUUCCCCUGAAUGUUUGCACAGUGUUGUUUUUACCAGGUGUCCUGGUGUCCUAAUAAAAGACUGA
Molecule: long non-coding RNA, 267 nt
Filed under: Parus major (Great Tit)
Lineage: Eukaryota; Metazoa; Chordata; Aves; Passeriformes; Paridae
Description: lncRNA (ENSPMJG00000015934.1)
Source: RNAcentral